GCCUGGGUGGCUCAGUCGGUUGAGCAUCUGACUUUGGCUCAGGUCAUGAUCUCGUGGUCUGUGAGUUCGAGCCCCGCAUGGGGCU
This 85-nucleotide transfer RNA is filed under the name Felis catus (domestic cat). It matches the Rfam family "tRNA". From Rfam's summary of the family: Transfer RNA (tRNA) molecules are approximately 80 nucleotides in length. Their secondary structure includes four short double-helical elements and three loops (D, anti-codon, and T loops). Further hydrogen bonds mediate the characteristic L-shaped molecular structure. tRNAs have two regions of fundamental functional importance: the anti-codon, which is responsible for specific mRNA codon recognition, and the 3' end, to which the tRNAs corresponding amino acid is attached (by aminoacyl-tRNA synthetases). tRNAs cope with the degeneracy of the genetic code in two manners: having more than one tRNA (with a specific anti-codon) for a particular amino acid; and 'wobble' base-pairing, i.e. permitting non-standard base-pairing at the 3rd anti-codon position. The record is from Rfam by way of RNAcentral. Lineage: Eukaryota; Metazoa; Chordata; Mammalia; Carnivora; Felidae.